GCCAUGGCCUAAAUUCUAAUGAUGAAUUUUCCCACCAGGUAUAAUGGACCAAGAGCAAAAUCGAACAACAAAACAUGAAGGAUCAGUGUUCCGUGCACUCGCUGGCUCAAUUGGAAGAAACCGUUUCACAAUCAAGCCCCAGCACAACCACCUAGCUCGCCCGCUCGCCAGCAGCUGACGGGGUGUUUAAGGGAGACGAAUGAGCGCUGACCUUAUCAGACUAGACCAGCAGACCAGUGAUGCUCAAGGUUAAGUGCACCAGAAUUCUUGCUUGACUGAUGGCAAGUGACAACUGCAGCAGGAGAGCAGAGCCAAACCCCACAGAAAGUCUAAAGGAGCAAUUACAGGACCACAGAAGUUGCAAC
Molecule: long non-coding RNA, 365 nt
Organism: Lates calcarifer (barramundi perch)
Lineage: Eukaryota; Metazoa; Chordata; Actinopteri; Centropomidae
Exons: 5
Source: RefSeq, a predicted model, not a curated record